Long non-coding RNA from Passer domesticus (house sparrow), 855 nucleotides. RefSeq lists it as uncharacterized. The record is from RefSeq and is a predicted model, not a curated record. Lineage: Eukaryota; Metazoa; Chordata; Aves; Passeriformes; Passeridae. The transcript is spliced from 5 exons.
AGAGGCACCCAUGACACAGCUCUUCAACCUUGCUUUACUCCCCUCAGAGUCCAACAGGACUCAUGGUCCUGCUGCCACCCUUGGAAAAGGUGUUAUCCUAGAAAGCUGCCUCUAAAGCAUCCAGAAAGGAUCCACAGGAGUUGUACAGAGAUUCAAAUGUAAGCAGAAAGAGAUGGGGUAUGUUGCUAAGGAUUCUUUGUGGUGCCUGUCCACUGCCUUCACCCCCAAGCCCUGACUUGAAGAAAAAGUAUUUUAGUCAUGCAAACAGAAGAGCAAAGAUAAAUUGGAAGAAUCAUACUGAUUGUAUCAAGAAGUUUUCAGGCCACAUGAAGUGCUGCAUUGAUAUAUUUCUCUUCAGAAACCAAUGGCAGUGCUGAUGGUAACUGUAAAUCUGCAGGUCACACCAAGCUGUAUGAGAAAGUUGCAUCUACAGAGAGAAUGGAUGUCAUCCAGAGGGACCUUGAAAGACUAUGGGGCCUGAAGCAGCUUGGAAAAAGACAGAGACCACUGCUUCUUCUAACAGGAUCCAUCUUUAUAACACACACUCUAGUAUUUACAUGUUUCUACUAUGGGAAACUUUAAAGAAUGUCUUGGGAAUGUGCAGAAGGAAAGACAAAACAGCAAACACCUGGCAAGGCAGACUUUUCUGUCCUUUAUCCACCAUUUGCUCAAACAAGCCACCUCCCAGCACUCAAAAGGUAAAAGAGAAACACUCACACAUGGUAUUUAUGGCUGCAUCAUUCCUUGCAUCUUUGUCAAGAGAACAGAAAGCCUUUAUGAAAGUUAAGCUAAGUGUGACAAGUUGCUCUUCUACACAGUACUCUAAGGCCAGGAGGGCUGCAGCAGGUCGCUGCU